GGAGGAUUAGCUCAGUUGGGAGAGCACUUGCCUUACAAGCAAGGGGUCACUGGUUCGAGCCCAGUAUCCUCCA
This is a transfer RNA of Pontibacillus yanchengensis Y32, 73 nucleotides long. It matches the Rfam family "tRNA". From Rfam's summary of the family: Transfer RNA (tRNA) molecules are approximately 80 nucleotides in length. NCBI's taxonomy places the organism in Bacteria, Bacillati, Bacillota, Bacilli, Caryophanales, Bacillaceae. The record is from Rfam.